RNAcentral lists this unclassified non-coding RNA (1048 nucleotides) under Mus musculus (house mouse). RNAcentral's name for it is "A-Uba52-4b antisense RNA". The record is from RNAcentral. Lineage: Eukaryota; Metazoa; Chordata; Mammalia; Rodentia; Muridae.
ACUCCCAGAGCUGUUCUCUGCUGAGAGCUGAGCUGGUUUCCUGCACCACAAGCUUACACUGACAUACAAGGUCUUGCCGCAGGUCCAAAGCUCUGUGGCCAGCUGACCACGUACUGAUACCUCAAAGCGAGCCAACAUGGCGCCUCUCACUGCAAGUUGACUCAUCUCAGGUUGUUGGUAUGGCCGCACUUCUUCUUGCGGCAGUUGACUGCACGAGGGUGCAGGCGUGCGUAGCACUUGCGGCAGAUCAUCUUGUCACAGUUGUACUUCUGGGCAAGCUGACGAAGGGAUGGCUCAAUGAUGCCACCGCGCAGACGCAGCACCAGGUGCAAGGUGGACUCUUUCUGGAUGUUGUAGUCGGACAGGGUGCGGCCAUCCUCCAGCUGUUUGCCCGCGAAUAUCAGCCUCUGCUGGUCAGGUGGGAUGCCUUCCUUGUCUUGGAUCUUGGCCUUGACAUUCUCGAUGGUGUCACUGGGCUCGACCUCAAGAGUGAUGGUCUUGCCCGUCAGGGUCUUCACGAAGAUCUGCAUGUUGGCGUCUGCCGCUCGGCCGCCUCGUUGAAGAGUGGAUAAAGCAAUUUAAAGAGAAUUUUCUUGGCUCUGGGCUUUUCACAUACAAAAGCAGAGUGGUGCCUAAGAGAAGAUGAGAGGUAGCGUCUCGCAAAGCCACCUGAACCAGCAGCAUUCUUUUCCAUGGACACUGUGAUGAAUUAGCAUUGCUGUGCACACUCCUCGAAAAUCUGCCUUAGGGAGGCUGCAGUGCCCAUUUGGUGAGGACUCCUUCAACUCCACGUGCUCACCCUGACACGGGCUCUUCCCUUGGGGCUGGUUACCCAAGGGUAUUUUUCCUUGUCUAGAUUUUCUGCUUUCUUCCCUUUACAAGUCAGCCUGUGCACGUGGAGAUAAAGGGGAGUUUAAGAUGAAAGAGACCAGCCUUGGAAUUUCAAGAAUUUAUUAGAUGUAUGAGUUUGGGUGAGCUUGAGUUGCUUUGAGUCUUCUUAUCAUUAAAGCAGAUUCACAACAUGAAAAAAAAAAAAAAAAAAAAAAAA